Molecule: ribosomal RNA, 466 nt
Filed under: uncultured bacterium
Lineage: Bacteria
Description: partial 16S ribosomal RNA
Rfam family: Bacterial small subunit ribosomal RNA
Source: RNAcentral
GACGAACGCUGGCGGCGUGCUUAACACAUGCAAGUCGAACGGAAAGGCCCUGCUUGCAGGGUACUCGAGUGGCGAACGGGUGAGUAACACGUGGGUGAUCUGCCCUGCACUUCGGGAUAAGCUUGGGAAACUGGGUCUAAUACCGGAUAGGAGCCAUCUUUAGGGGGGGGGUGGGAAAGUUUUUUCGGUGUAGGAUGAGCUCGCGGCCUAUCAGCUGGUUGGUGGGGUAAUGGCCUACCAAGGCGGCGACGGGUAGCCGGCCUGAGAGGGUGUACGGCCACAUUGGGACUGAGAUACGGCCCAGACUCCUACGGGAGGCAGCAGUGGGGAAUAUUGCACAAUGGGCGCAAGCCUGAUGCAGCGACGCCGCGUGGGGGAUGAAGGCCUUCGGGUUGUAAACUCCUUUCGCUAGGGACGAAGCUUUGUUGUGACGGUACCUAGAUAAGAAGCACCGGCUAACUACGUG